Molecule: RNA transcript, 2616 nt
Organism: Oncorhynchus keta (chum salmon)
Lineage: Eukaryota; Metazoa; Chordata; Actinopteri; Salmoniformes; Salmonidae
Gene: tafazzin
Gene name: tafazzin, phospholipid-lysophospholipid transacylase
Exons: 12
Source: RefSeq, a predicted model, not a curated record
AGCAAGUCUUCCGGGAACGCUGGAGCAAAAGGCCAAACAGACCAGGCCGGGUUAGAGAAGUCAAUGAGAUUAGUGAAACAUUCUUAAUUAGUUGUUCAUUUUCUGAAAAUCUAAAAGGCACAACCUAGAUUCGAGUUAAUGUCUUAAGUAGUUUAACACGUUAUUACUCCAAUCUCAUGAAAGUGACAAACUGACACGUGAUCAUUUUCGUCAAAAACAACUUUAUAUCAAAGGAGUCCCUCUGAUUUGCGGCGUGCACAUGCGCAGUUAGGCGCCAGGCGACCCUUAGACCAGAUUCGUUGAUUCUGAUCGCUAACGUCGCCAUUACAUCGCCUACAUGCGUGAUCGGGGAUUUCUAUUGGAGAAACCGUUUCGGACUAUCUUCAUACUGUACUGUCUGUCUUUGAUUAUAUAUCAGGGGUGUAGAUGGGAUGAGGGGAAAUGAAGGAACAGACGUCGUUUCAAAGCAUCAAUGAGUAGAUGGAAGAAACACACACAACAACCAUUUGUUUACAUCGAUUCAGAAAGCUUAAAUUCGUUCGACGUAAUGAACUGCAACUCCCACAAACCAUUGCAGAAUUAGCCUUUUUCCGGGUUCUUCGAACUUGCUAGUUAUCAGCUGAAAGCAUAAGGUGGAUGUGUGUUCCGUUGGUGAGCAGCGAUGCCCCUGGAGGUGAAAUGGCCGUUCCCACAGUGCCCGCAGCUGGCCUGGAAGGUGACCAGCACCCUGGUCAUGGGCGUGGUGGGCUCAUACAGCUACUUCUGGACCAAGUAUCUGAACUGUAUUACGGUUCAUAAUCAGGAUGUUCUAUUUGACCUGAUAGACCAACGUCCACCUGACACACCCCUCAUCACACUGUCCAAUCACCAGUCCUGUAUGGACGACCCACACCUCUGGGGAGUUCUGAGACUCAGACACCUCUGGAACUUCAACAAGAUGCGCUGGACUCCGGCUGCGUCGGACAUCUGUUUCACCAAAGAGUUACACUCCAGAUUCUUCAGCAGAGGGAAGUGUAUUCCCGUCUGCAGAGGUGAUGGGGUGUAUCAGAAAGGCAUGGACUUUCUUCUGGAGAAGCUGAAUGGAGGAGACUGGGUACACAUCUUCCCUGAGGGGAAAGUCAACAUGACUGAGGAGUUUAUACGGUUGAAAUGGGGUGUCGGCCGUCUGAUAGCAGAGUGUUCCCUUAACCCUGUUAUUCUCCCUGUGUGGCAUGUAGGUAUGAGCGAUGUCUUGCCCAAUGAGCGACCUUACAUCCCUCGUACUGGACAGAGAAUCACAGUCCUGAUAGGGAAUCCAUUUACAGUCAAAGAUCUUCUGGAGUCUCUCCGACAACAGCAGAAGAGCCAGGACAAGAGGAACUGACGAUGUACUACCCAAUAUAGAAAUAUCACCUUGUGGAUUCUACUGUUACAACUUUAAAGAAUGGAGAUGAGGAAGGCCCUGACAGAUUCCAUCCAGGAGGAGUUUCGUAGCCUGCGGACCAAGGCUGAGGCUCUCCACCAGCGGGUACAGACCACGACCUGAGCCCCAGGCUCCAGCUCGGCCUCCACACCUGGCCCCUACCCUAACCUCAGGGUACCAACUCAAUAUAGAGUGGACAAAGAGACUGACUGUAUACACACACACACAAACAGGAAACUAGAUUCACACACACAUACCUGUGCCUCAUAGUGUGUGCAGUCCAACCUGCUGUCUGAUAAACCAGUGGUCACCAAUGUGAUAAUUGCAAGGAGUAUCCUGCUAUGCACCUCAAAAAUCAUUCAGUCAACAUACAGGCAACGUUGAGAAAACAUUGUUCCUUGCUUCAUGUUUGAAACCAAUUCAACGGGAAUGUCCAUAGAGCCAAUGUUGUGUUUAACAGGCAUUUUAUCAACCGUCCAGUUCUCUCCCGUGUAAUGAAGUCACGUGACUUUCACCUCUGUCCCCACGGUAACAGCAGAACUAUGAGUAGUAGAGAAGUGUGGUUCGCACAGUAACAACAGAACUAUGAGUGGUAGAGAAGUGUGGUUCUCAUGGUAACAGCAGAACUAUGAGCGGUAGAGAAGUGUGGUUCUCAUGGUAACAGCAGAACUAUGAGUGGUAGAGAAGUGUGGUUCUCACGGUAACAGCAGAACUAUCAGUAGUGGAGUGAAGUGUGGUUCCCACAGUAACGACAGAACUAUGAGUAGUAGAGAAGUGUGGUUCUCAUGAUAACAGCAGAACUAUGAGUAGUAGAGAAGUGAAAUGUGGUUCCCACAGUAACAACAGAACUAUGAGUGGUAGAGAAGUGAAGUGUGGUUCUGAUCCUCUGGCAGCUUAGCAGGAAAUGACAUACAGCCAGGAAAAACUACGGGUCCUAAUCACAAAUCCUUUCACUUUGUGCCCUCAAUCUCUCUCUAUUGCACUCCGUUUCUCUUCCGUUGUCCAUCUCUCUCACCCGAUACCUCCUGUUGUACUGUUUCUCUCCCGUUCUCCAUCUCCCUCUGGUUCUCUCCCGUUCUCCAUCUCUCUCUGUUUCUCUCCCGUUCUCCAUCUCUCUCUGUUUCUCUCCUGUUCUCCAUCUCUCUCUCUGUUUCACUCCCGUUCUCCAUCUCUCUCUGUUUCUCUCCCGUUCUCCAUCUCUCUGUUUCUCUCCC